CCAUCGUUUUGUGGGUGUCAAGUGUAGGCUAAACUAGAGACAUAAUGGUAAACAAACCAUGAUUGCAACUGACGAGGUUGCUACCCUUCAACCAUAUCUAGACAAACAACUCAUGCAGGGGUACAGUGAAUUAGCCUAACUUACUGCAUCAGAUCCUGAUGCUGCACUAACAGGCCUACAGUCAUGUAGAGGAAUUCGAGAGCGUUAUUCGUAAUUUUAUAGAGAAUUUAUUUAGACUAUAGGCUGGCAGACAUGUCCAGAACUUCCUGUAGGCUAGACAAACUUACUGACGGACUAGAGGGGGUAGACACGUCAAUAUAGGCCAAAACCAAUAUUUCACCAAACCAAUAUAUGCUGCCAAUCACAACACAUCGUUCAUCCUCCUCCUAUUCACAAGUCCACUGUCCACUUGAAGCUACCGCAGAUGCAACUAUGAGAUAUUUAAACCUGUGUUCAGCUUUGUACAAAACUUCUGAAGGCUAUAUUAACGAGGUGCUAGCACCCCUAUCGCGUCCGAAGUUCAUCUGUAGGAAUUUAGCCUAAAUCCUCUCCAAGAUUACGAAUUGCUGACUUGAUGUAGCCUAGGUUUAGUGUGCCAUUAGCAGCACAGGAUAGCAUGCAUGCUAGUUAGGCUACACUGUAGGCCUGCAGGGCCUUUUUCUAAAUACGAGGUAAGGGUAGCAACCAUCAGUUGCAGUUUAGCCCAUUAACUAUAAUGUUUCUGGUUUACAUGGCGACACAAAUACACGCUGAAGAUUUUUAGUUUUUACAAAGUUUGGUUGGCUAUUGUACAAAUAACUUUUGCCUAGGCUGCUUCUCAUAGGCUACAGCCUACAGACACCACCCCAUGGCAACUAGCCAAUCAGGCAGCACUUUGUCGUCACCUAGACAGAACUCGGGAUCAGUCACUACAAAUCUUAAUAAAUCCUAACCUGGUCCUAACACCUUUUUUUGUUUCUUCAAUUUUCUGAAAAUAAAAAUAAAAAACACAGUUCUUUAUCCCAAAUUGUAACUUGCCAGUGUUGAAACUCUUUGAACUUUUUGAACUUUGAACUCAAUUUUCUGAUAUUCCAAAUGUUAAUGACGGACUGAGUCCUUAACCUGUAUGUGUUACUGAGGUGAGAGUACAUGUAUAUGUUAAAAGGACAGCCUUUAACCUGUGUGUGUGUUACGGAGGUGAGAGUACAUGUAUGUGUUAAAGGACAGCCUUUAACCUGUAUGUGUGUGUUACUGAGAGAAGAGUAAGUAAGUAUGAAGCCCAUCAGAUAUAACUCACACUCUCAAUAAUACGCUGACAUAAACGAGUAACAGAAAUAAAAAGCUAAUUGCAAAAGCUUGCACUAAGCAGUAAAUGGGUAGAGCCAUUAAAAACAUUUUAAUUAGAGAAUAAUUACAUGGAGGGUUUUGAUACCACAGUUUUUUUUCCCUCUCUCAUUUAGCAGGCAUGUUUAUCCAAAGCUUCUUACAAUAGAGAGAGAGAGAACAUAAAUAUUAUAAACCACUGACCUAAGUGGUUUGGCUUAACUAGUGUCUUAGCAAGCACCACGCUGUGCAUUCGCCUUCCUCUGGAGCCCAUUACAUUUCAUACCACUGCAAUCUGCAGUAACGGUAGAAGUCAAAGAACAUUCCUUCACUGUAGCUGCCGCUGUGUUAUCAUUUUAAAGGACUCUCCUAUGACGGAUCCAUUGUCCUCUUGUUCUCGGUCUCUGUAAGUUAUAGAUCUUGGUGCCUAGUUUUGGAUCCUAGUUUUCUAUGCCUGGAACCAUUUUGGUUUAUUUUGGGAACAACCUAAGCUCAUCUGGAUUAAUAAAUAAAUCCAUAUUUUUUUACUGGACUGCCAUCUCCUGCCCGUUUCUUCCCUCGUCCCCACCUCAUUCAGGAGCACACCUCCCAAAUCAUGGGGU
This is a long non-coding RNA of Clupea harengus (Atlantic herring), 1904 nucleotides long. Lineage: Eukaryota; Metazoa; Chordata; Actinopteri; Clupeiformes; Clupeidae. The record is from Ensembl.